Molecule: long non-coding RNA, 1518 nt
Filed under: Sinocyclocheilus anshuiensis
Lineage: Eukaryota; Metazoa; Chordata; Actinopteri; Cypriniformes; Cyprinidae
Description: lncRNA (ENSSANG00000040900.1)
Source: RNAcentral
AUGGAGAUGACUCUAUUGUCCAUCACAGUGUGGUUCACUCAGUUCCUCAUCGUCUCAGCUCUUUAUUUCAACACACCGCCAACAAACACCCCAAGUGACUACACUGAAACCACACAAAUAACUUCAGCAACAACAAAAACAAACCCAGAAAUAAAAAUCCUUAUAUACGCAACAUCUUCGUCACCUCUGACCGCAUCAACAACGCAGAAAAGCAUAACAAAUUUGCCCAGUGAAGUGCAUACACAGACAAAUAUAACCCCAAAUGUGACACCCACACCGGAAACAGCAUCCCUGCAUCCACUGAACAGCAGUACUCCUUCUCAAAAUGUUAUGAUGGAUGAUGGCGAGAGCGUAAGCAGUGCUAGUAAUGUGGCUAUGAGCGAUGCGAAUAAUAGUCAUACAACAGUUUCCACUAACUUUGCAGGACUAACGCCACAAAAGGAUGACAGUAAUGAAACAGGUACACCGUCAAGUGUGAGUUACAACUCUGACGGGCGCACCGUUCAGACUCCAGACACUUUAUCAGACCCAGUCGACAGUGUCUCAACAGUUCCUUGGAGGUAUUCCACAGAGAAAGAGGAUGAGAGAACGAAAGCCGAUGAAGGAAAUUACGAAACAAACUCCACCCAGGCCACAUUUGCUAAUAUGAAAGAGGAGUCGAGAGGAACACGAGGCACUGAGGGAAGUUCCACAUUCUCAAGUGAACACAGAGAGGAACAUUACGACACAGCAGCGAAUACGAUCAAUGUCAGUGAUACAACAGCAACAGUGAGUAACAAAUGGUCAACGUCACAAAGCACAGAUAUUCCCAUGACCACACCGUCUUACACAACAGCACAGGGUUACCCCACGUUUACAGAUGCACCUGAAUAUCACACCUCAACAGGUGGCGUAAAUCACUCUACGACACAGGAGAAUAUAUACAGGUUCACAAACUCCACAGCAACCACAAGAAGAGAAAACAGGACAGGAACAGACACACCCGGUGGUACCACCGCCAACAUCAACAUCUCUAUCAUAACUGACAACAGCCUAAAUGCCACAAACAACAGAUCAAACAAAAAUGACACAGAAAACAAAGUGAGGCCUUCAUGUCUGAACCCAAAACCAGGAAAUCAUUCUCGGCCAUCCAAGCUGGUCUGUUUCCUCACAUUGUGGACUUUAGCAAUGACCGCCACCAUAUUUCUAGGAAUAACUAUUUUCCUUUGGGUGCGUCUGUCAGUCUCCAAAAAAAAGAUGAAGCGGAGAGUAAAACGAGGUCAGACGUGUGAGAAGGAGAGCCUCUGGGCCGAGCCCAAAGCAUCGGUGCAGGACAGAGUGGAGUUCUGGUACGUCAAUGGAUCCACGCUGGAGGCCGACAGGAAGGAGAAGGACAGGAGGAGGAUGAAGAGGAGAGGACGGGAACAGGAUAAUGAGGAGAACAGCCUGUGGAUUCAGCCUAGAGUGACUGUGGAAGACAUAACAGAGUUCUGGUACGCAAACAGACACAUGAAGGAGGAGAGGACAGAGGACACGUAG